UUGCAGGUACUUUCCUGGAAAAACGAGGGAGAUUUGGAUGGAACUGGAUUUCCCAAAACGGUGUUAAUGAGAAUAAAAGUCUUCUCCCACCUAAACCUGGCUGAUCAUCGUACAUCUGGUUUGAGAUUAUUUUGUUUAUCGCUGUAGCAACCAGCUGGGCCAGGUGGACCCUGGUUGAACCUCACCUCUGCUGCAUUGAGUAUCUGUCACCACGCAGCUUCUCAGCUGCCUCCACGUUGGAGUAUGGAAACCCACUCAACUAUUCUGGUGGAUGUGCAGGCAUGAAAGGAAGAAAGCCAUCCCAACAGCA
Long non-coding RNA from Orcinus orca (killer whale), 310 nucleotides. RefSeq lists it as uncharacterized. The transcript has 4 exons. Lineage: Eukaryota; Metazoa; Chordata; Mammalia; Artiodactyla; Delphinidae. The record is from RefSeq and is a predicted model, not a curated record.